Molecule: non-coding RNA, 577 nt
Organism: Ciona savignyi (Pacific transparent sea squirt)
Lineage: Eukaryota; Metazoa; Chordata; Ascidiacea; Phlebobranchia; Cionidae
Source: Rfam
UGUCCUCAGUCCCGGGUCGUCUCGGCGCGGUUCCGAGCGGUCGCUCCCUCGCGAGGUGCCGCGGGUCAGCGGCUGACGCCAGCCACCUUCCCGACCCGUCUUGAAACACGGACCAAGGAGUCUAACAUGUGCGCGAGCCGCGGGGCAGUACGAAACCCGUAAGGCGAAAUGAAGGUGAACGCCGGCGCGGUCCGGCGGAGGUUGGAUCCAGUCCCGUCGGGGCGGGCGCACUACCGGCCGAUCUUCUCCGCCCUGUCGGCGAGGUCGAGCGAGAGCGUGCAAGUCGGGACCCGAAAGAUGGUGAACUAUGCCUGAGGAGGUUGAAGCCAGAGGAAACUCUGGUGGAGGACCGUAGCGAUUCUGACGUGCAAAUCGAUCGUCAAAUUUGGGUAUAGGGGCGAAAGACUAAUCGAACCGUCUAGUAGCUGGUUCCCUUCGAAGUUUCCCUCAGGAUAGCUGGCGCUCUGUCGCAGUUUUAUCUGGUAAAGCGAAUGAUUAGAGGUCUCUUGGGGGCGAAACGCCCUCAACCUAUUCUCAAACUUUAAAUUGGUAAGAAGCCCGACUCGCUCGUUUGGAG